ACUUUACAAUGCGGGCAACCGUGAUAAGGGAACCUCGAGUGCCUGUACAUGCAGGCUGUUCAGGUGUCUAAAACACACCUGAAGAAAGGGCCGGGUAAGACCGGUGCCAGCCGCCGCGGUAACACCGGCGGCCCGAGUGGUAAUCGUGAUUAUUGGGUCUAAAGGGUCCGUAGCCGGUUUGGUCAGUCCUCCGGGAAAUCUGAUAGCUCAACUAUUAGGCUUUCGGGGGAUACUGCCAGACUUGGAACCGGGAGAGGUAAGAGGUACUACGAGGGGUAGGAGUGAAAUC
RNAcentral lists this ribosomal RNA (289 nucleotides) under uncultured archaeon. RNAcentral describes it as "partial 16S ribosomal RNA". It matches the Rfam family "Archaeal small subunit ribosomal RNA", at positions 347 to 639 of the family's 1478-position model. The record is from RNAcentral.